Molecule: non-coding RNA, 26 nt
Filed under: Rattus norvegicus (Norway rat)
Lineage: Eukaryota; Metazoa; Chordata; Mammalia; Rodentia; Muridae
Source: RNAcentral
UGAGGUCUACAGCAUAAUUCCCUUGG